This 459-nucleotide ribosomal RNA is filed under the name uncultured Thiocapsa sp. Its description in RNAcentral is "bacterial SSU rRNA". It matches the Rfam family "Bacterial small subunit ribosomal RNA", at positions 924 to 1382 of the family's 1533-position model. Lineage: Bacteria; Pseudomonadati; Pseudomonadota; Gammaproteobacteria; Chromatiales; Chromatiaceae. The record is from RNAcentral.
CACAAGCGGUGGAGCAUGUGGUUUAAUUCGAUGCAACGCGAAGAACCUUACCAGCCCUUGACAUCCUCGGAAUCCUGCAGAGAUGCGGGAGUGCUUCGGGAGCCGAGAGACAGGUGCUGCAUGGCUGUCGUCAGCUCGUGUCGUGAGAUGUUGGGUUAAGUCCCGUAACGAGCGCAACCCUUGCCCUUAGUUGCCAGCGCGUCAAGGCGGGAACUCUAAGGGGACUGCCGGUAAUAAACCGGAGGAAGGUGGGGAUGACGUCAAAUCAUCAUGCCCCUUAUGACCUGGGCUACACACGUGCUACAAUGGCAGGUACAGAGGGCUGCGAAGCCGCGAGGUGGAGCGAAUCCCAGAAAACCUGUCUCAGUCCGGAUUGAAGUCUGCAACUCGACUUCAUGAAGGCGGAAUCGCUAGUAACCGCGAAUCAGCAGGUCGCGGUCGAAUACGUUCCCGGGCCUU